AAGAGGCAGCAGGCUUCGUGAGCUGGGGAAGUGCCAGAAGCAGCCUUCGAAUUAGACAGACCUGGACCCAAACCCUUUCUCUUCCCCCCACCCAUUUUGGCAUCUUGGCACGAGACUGUCCCCAUUUCUGGAAAGGGUGUUCACAAGAACAGUCUGGCUGGGUUGUUGGGAUGACCGAGUGUGAUCAUGCGUCUCUAUGGCUGGCCAUGGUGUUUAUUCGAUGGCAGGUAUUACCAGGAUGGAGCGAGUCCCAGUAGGAAGGGCCUUUAGGAUGUCAUCUGGUUCCACCCAACAGGGAUGGGAACUGUAAUUCCCCACUCUCCCUGUGGAGAAUCAGGGCGGGCUCCGGAUGGAUGGCCAAAGGCUGCACAGAGCCCUUGUUCUUUAGCCACAGGUUGAAGAUGACAGUAGAUCCUAAGGAACCUCAGUUCUAUCCCGAAAUGCGAAGGCCUUUUUACUCAACCACAAAGAAGUGGUCAGCAGAAAACUGGUCAUCCCGGCCUCUGGGGCCAUGCACAGCACUCAGGAGGAGCUACUAUUUUCCCUGCCUGUUUACAUGCGGCCUGGGGCCUUGUGGGCUAUUUGAAAAUUAGGACACGAGAAGUCCAAGCAGCACCUGACUGGGAGCUCCAUGAGGUCCGAGACAACCUGAAGACGCCCAGCUCAGCAGAGACUGGCUACGGCAAUCACUCAGUAACUAUUUGUUGAAUUGGACAUAAUAGAAGAGCUGAAGAAUUUUAAACAAGUCACCAUCAGUGCAGUGGAUUCCUCAAAGCAAACCUGGAAAUCUCGGCAUGAGUUGGAUUUAAGGCAGUACAUUUUCAGCUCCUGAAAAUUUGAACAGUUUCUCAAGAGAACAACUUGAAACAGAAAGGCAAGGAUGUAGAUGUGGUUGUAGAAGAUGAUGUCUGCGGCCACCAAACUGUCCACUGUGAAGACAAACCAUGCAUGUUUAGUAGGCAGUGGCUCCUCUUCCCUGUGGGGAGUCCCACUGCUUCCCUGGCCUGGGUGUUCUCUGCCGGUAGAUGUUAUUGACAAAAUAAGCAAAGUCCUCUGAUUCUGAGAAUUAGAGUUAAUGAUAGCUCUAGAUUGCCUCUGCCAUGCUAUUUAAAGUCCUGCUUUAUUGUCUGACAUGAGUUCGGCAUCUAUGAGGACUUGUCCAGUGCAAAGUACAAUCUCCACUGAAAGAUAUCACCAGCACAUCUUGUCACUGUGCUGUAGCAAGCUGGGCAGUACAAUGAUGUUGGCAGGAUCCUGUUUAGGUGGAGGAUGGCCACCUGGGCAUCAAGAAUCUUCUACCCUGAUUCCACAUUGACUCCCCAAAGUGGGCUUCAGACAGCUCUUUACUUACGUCUUCUGAUUAAAGCAGCAGACAGGGUCCCAGCUAGAGAAAAGUUCUGGGAGCAGGAGAGGUGUUGGUGGCUUUAAAACCAGGGGUGAAGAUUGAAUUAGGAGGUUAGGCAGGAGUAGGAUCAAAGACUUAGAAAAUGCUUGUUUCCUCCUAUUAUUCUUAUGAGAGCUGAUACGGGGCUUUCAGUUUUGGGGGAGAGCCUUGGAAGAGAAUGAGGGAAUUUAAUCAACUAGCGGGACCUUUCCAACUUACAUUUCCCAGUGUUUGUUGGAUGAUACGUUUGCCUAAUAAGUUAAAGCUUCCAAAAAUAGAAAGGAAAGCUUGGUGACACUAAGCUCUGGCAUGCUGUCAUCUUCUGGCUAGGGGUCUUGUGCUUCUGUUUUUCUAUUUCUGACCAAAGACAUAAAAUGUGUUGUGACCUCUCAGG
RNAcentral lists this long non-coding RNA (1778 nucleotides) under Homo sapiens (human). RNAcentral's name for it is "HSALNT0403887". Lineage: Eukaryota; Metazoa; Chordata; Mammalia; Primates; Hominidae. The record is from RNAcentral.